GAUGAACGCUGGCGGCGUGCCUAACACAUGCAAGUCGAGCGAAGCACUUUGCUUAGAUUCUUCGGAUGAAGAGGAUUGUGACUGAGCGGCGGACGGGUGAGUAACGCGUGGGUAACCUGCCUCAUACAGGGGGAUAACAGUUAGAAAUGACUGCUAAUACCGCAUAAGACCACAGCACCGCAUGGUGCGGGGGUAAAAACUCCGGUGGUAUGAGAUGGACCCGCGUCUGAUUAGCUAGUUGGUAAGGUAACGGCUUACCAAGGCGACGAUCAGUAGCCGACCUGAGAGGGUGACCGGCCACAUUGGGACUGAGACACGGCCCAAACUCCUACGGGAGGCAGCAGUGGGGAAUAUUGCACAAUGGGGGAAACCCUGAUGCAGCGACGCCGCGUGAGCGAAGAAGUAUUUCGGUAUGUAAAGCUCUAUCAGCAGGGAAGAAGAAUGACGGUACCUGACUAAGAAGCACCGGCUAAAUACGUGCCAGCAGCCGCGGUAAUACGUAUGGUGCAAGCGUUAUCCGGAUUUACUGGGUGUAAAGGGAGCGCAGGCGGUGCGGCAAGUCUGAUGUGAAAGCCCGGGGCUCAACCCCGGUACUGCAUUGGAAACUGUCGUACUAGAGUAUCGGAGGGGUAAGUGGAAUUCCUAGUGUAGCGGUGAAAUGCGUAGAUAUUAGGAGGAACACC
RNAcentral lists this ribosomal RNA (683 nucleotides) under uncultured Lachnospiraceae bacterium. RNAcentral describes it as "bacterial SSU rRNA". It matches the Rfam family "Bacterial small subunit ribosomal RNA", at positions 28 to 710 of the family's 1533-position model. The record is from RNAcentral. Lineage: Bacteria; Bacillati; Bacillota; Clostridia; Lachnospirales; Lachnospiraceae.